Molecule: ribosomal RNA, 439 nt
Filed under: uncultured bacterium
Lineage: Bacteria
Description: partial 16S ribosomal RNA
Rfam family: Bacterial small subunit ribosomal RNA
Source: RNAcentral
CUACGGGGGGCUGCAGUGAGGAAUAUUGCACAAUGGGGGGAACCCUGAUGCAGCAACGCCGCGUGGAGGAUGACGCAUUUCGGUGUGUAAACUCCUUUUAUAUGUCAAGAAAAUGACGGUAGCAUAUGAAUAAGCACCGGCUAACUCCGUGCCAGCAGCCGCGGUAAUACGGAGGGUGCAAGCGUUACUCGGAAUCACUGGGCGUAUAGGACGCGUAGGCGGGUUGGAAAGUCAGGUGUGAAAUCCUACAGCUUAACUGUAGAACUGCACUUGAAACUUCUAAUCUAGAGUAUGGGAGGGGGAGAUGGAAUUAGUGGGGUAGGGGUAAAAUCCGUAGAUAUCACUAGGAAUACCUAAAGCGAAGGCGAUCUCCUGGAACAUUACUGACGCUAAGGCGUGAAAGCGUGGGGAGCAAACAGGGUUAGAUACCCCAGUAGUC